Long non-coding RNA from Folsomia candida, 1157 nucleotides. RefSeq lists it as uncharacterized. Lineage: Eukaryota; Metazoa; Arthropoda; Collembola; Entomobryomorpha; Isotomidae. The transcript is spliced from 3 exons. The record is from RefSeq and is a predicted model, not a curated record.
AGCAGACACAUAUUAUUCAUAGUUUGCCAAAUGAACCAAAUUCAUGACGUCCAAAUUAUAAUCAAGCACGAUGCAAACGUUUAUAUUACAAAUUAUCUAUUCAUCUCUAUUCAUCAACCGAUACGUCGUGGAGCAUCAUUUGAAUAUAAAUGGAAACGCCAACAAACAUGAUUAUAAUCAGAUUGAAUAACAAACCGCAAAAAUGAGUAUAAUGUUGGACAAGGUGUUUAACCCAUUGCGGAGAACCUAUUUACCACAGGUUUUUAGGAAUAAAUAAUAGGAAUAAAUAAUUAAUAAAUCAGUCAGAAAACAUGUUUUUACCAUAAUCAAUUCUUUUGCUGUUCUAUUUCCCCUUCUAAACAUAUUUUAGCCCCGAGAUCAUCAGUUAAUCAUUUAAUUUCUACACCCAACAGCACCGAAUAACUUUAUUCCAGUAUGACGCAUCUUUGAAAAGAAUUCAAAUUUUUAGAGCAAAAAAAACAAGUAUUUCAUAAUCUUAAUUUAAAUACUCGAUAUUCUAAAUAAAUGGGGCGGAUGAUCUUCAUUGUCGCAUUGUUCUCCGCCGUGGCGAUGCCAAACAACGACACGUGGUCAUGCGAGGGUGGAGGUUUGUUCUGCAACACGGGGGCGGCAGCUGCCCAAAAUGAAAGCGUCAUACAACUAAUACCGCGGCCUCAACGAGUACAUUGGCGACCACCUUUUCGGCCACCUCCGCGACCAGCAGUGCGACCACCGCACAGACCACCACCACCGCGACAACCCUACCAACAACCAUGGCAGACACUACCGUCCUUCCCCCCGCCCUGGUAUAUCCAGAACGAUCAAUAUGGCUGGAGCUGACCAAUGGAAAUGAUGUGUGUUACGGGAAAAAUCCGUAAUAAACUUUUUCCAAACCUGAGAUGACAAGGGAGCCACAAGUUGUGGCCCACAACUACUGUCCCAUCCUUCCGAGUUGCUUUUCAUAAAAUAAGAAUAAAUAUUCAUUUUAUAUUAGUUAAACUUAUAAAUUGUUGAAUUUAAAGAGACGACAGCUAUUUGCUAUGUAUGCAAUAAAAAUAUAUACAAGUGUUUAUAAAUCGGGGAAUAUAUCUAUAAUUUAUAUUAGAACCAAAGUAGAAUUUAAAUAAAAAGUUUAGAAUGUUUUCUUUUAAAAAAUA